UACGGCCAUAUCCCGUCGAAACGCCGGUUCCCGUACGAUCACCAAAGUUAAGCAACAUCAUGUCUGGUCAAUAUCUUGAUGGAUGACCGCUUGGGAAAAACAGC
Molecule: non-coding RNA, 104 nt
Organism: Acanthosepion pharaonis
Lineage: Eukaryota; Metazoa; Mollusca; Cephalopoda; Sepiida; Sepiidae
Source: the annotation of a GenBank genome assembly